UCUCUACCUUAGGCCAAAAUCUAAAACAGCAUCAGCACCUGGAAGUGUACCUCACACUCCUGUACCCUCGGAUGACCUAAUUGAUAUGCUUCAGGAUAGGAUAACUCUGGCAAACACAAUCAGCACGCUGGAGAAUGAAGCCCAAGACAAUAAUUAUACUUCAACUACAACUGACAACAGUGUUUUGCCAGUUGGUGCUGAGGAGAUGGGAUCAGAAGCUACAAUCAGAUUCCUUAAGGCAAAACUGAGAGUUAUGCAAGAAGAAUUAGACAGUGUUGUGGAGGAAUGUAAUAA
Molecule: long non-coding RNA, 294 nt
Organism: Pocillopora damicornis (cauliflower coral)
Lineage: Eukaryota; Metazoa; Cnidaria; Anthozoa; Scleractinia; Pocilloporidae
Source: RefSeq, a predicted model, not a curated record